AGCGCCGCUGCCUCUCGCCGCCUCGGCACCAGCAGUCGAUCUCCCGCUGUUGUUUGACCCAGCCAUAGCCUCCUUCGUCCCUCGCCCCCUCUCCCAUAGAUCACACGCCGUCGCGCUCCCCCAGCCCGACCUGACGCUGCCGCAACUCGCCCCCAGCCCGAACUCCGGCGUCGCCCGAAUCUGAUCCCCCGCCGGCCCUCCGGCCAUACCUCCACCGCCGCUCGACGCCGGUCUCCUCCCUACAGCGCAAGCUCCUCCGCCACCUGACGCCGAUCUGCCCCAGGCCAAGCUCCCCGGUCCCCUGACGCCGGUUGCAGCCCGACACCGCUCGCCCCAACGCCAGGCUCCGCCACCCGCAGAAUACUCUACUCGGACGACUCCUCUCUCGCUUCGCCGCCGACCAUGGCAACGACCUUGCCGACACACCUCUGCUGCUAGGAGCUUGUCCGCAGAGAAUUUGUGUAUCAAGAGAAGAGGAAACCGGGUAACUUAAAUUUGAUGGAUGAUGACGAUGAGGAUUUGAUUAGUAGACACUUUGCUGACUGGUUGGAACAAAAGAUGAUGGACUGGAUAUCACAGAAAAGAUAAGAGCAUUAGCCGCAAAACCAAGCAAAUCUGGGGUGCACUACAGCGGCUAUAUAAUUAAUGGUUUCAGAUUUCAUACUAUCAGCCAUGAUACAGGACGUGUGACACAAAAUAGUGGUGUCAUGAACCUUGCUGAAAAUGGUGUGUCCUAUUAUGGCCGGCUAUCUGACAUCUUCGAAUUGUCAUCCAGAGAUUACAAGGUGUUGUUCUUCAAAUGUGACUGGUAUGAUCAUCACAAAGCUGGUAUUGUAAGAGAUGAGUUUGGAUUCACUCAUGUGAACUUCUCCCGAAAAAUACAUAUAGGGGAGAAGUUAGAGGAUGAUCCUUUUGUAUUUUCUUCCCAAGUGGACCAGGUCUUUUAUAUCCAACAUCCGAGAAGUGAGAACUGGAAUACCAUGGUGAAAUUCAAACCUCGUUAUAUUUUUGACAUGGGUGGAGAACCAUCUUCAGAUGAAACAGACUAAUCUUUGUGCUUUCAGCUUGUUAUCGGCAGCUAAGAUAUAGGUUGAGCACUUGUCAUCCAUGCUCCUAGGUAGAGUUACUCCAACAUAAUUAUUGCAGCUGGGUGGAUCUUCUUCAGAAUGUAUUGAUCCCUGUGUUACUUUGUAAUGAACGAGCCUAUGGUCUUUUUUAAUGUGUAUGUUCCCUUUUGUUA
Triticum dicoccoides is the source of this 1240-nucleotide long non-coding RNA. RefSeq lists it as uncharacterized. The record is from RefSeq and is a predicted model, not a curated record. The transcript has 3 exons. NCBI's taxonomy places the organism in Eukaryota, Viridiplantae, Streptophyta, Magnoliopsida, Poales, Poaceae.